RNAcentral lists this ribosomal RNA (425 nucleotides) under uncultured bacterium. RNAcentral describes it as "bacterial SSU rRNA". It matches the Rfam family "Bacterial small subunit ribosomal RNA", at positions 354 to 796 of the family's 1533-position model. The record is from RNAcentral.
GUUAGGAAUAUUGGACAAUGGGCGAAAGCCUGAUCCAGCCAUGCCGCGUGAACGAUGAAGGCCUUCGGGAUGUAAAGUUCUUUAGCCGAUGAUUAUAAUGACUGUAGUCGGAAAAUAAGCCCCGGCUAACUUCGUGCCAGCAGCCGCGGUAAUACGAAGGGGGCGAGCGUUAUUCGGAAUCACUGGGCGUAAAGCGUGCGUAGGCGGUUUUGUAAGUUAGGAGUGAAAGCCCAGGGCUCAACCUUGGAAUUGCUCUUAAAACUGCAAGGCUAGAAUCUCGGAGAUGAUAGCGGAAUUUCCAGUGUAGCAGUGAAAUGCGUAGAUAUUGGAAGGAACACCAGUGGCGUAAGCGGCUAUCUGGACGAGUAUUGACGCUGAGGCACGAAAGCGUGGGGAUCAAACAGGAUUAGAAACCCCGGUAGUCC